CCCCCGCUCCCCGCCCCCCAAGCCUUAGUGAGAUUGACAGUCGCGUGGAGGAGGCUUUUCCAGGCACAGCCUUUCUCAUGGUAAUCAGCCCCCGGCAUCACCUCCCGGCCGCGGCUGCGCCCGCUCGGAGCGCGGCUCGCGGACCCCGGGGACCGGAAACAGGGCGGCGGGCGGGGAGCAGGCGAGCGAGCCAGAAAAGAAAAAGAAAAAAAUGUCAUUAGAAGAGGCGUAACACGUCAGUCCGUCCCCAGGUUUGUGUUUCCUGGAGUGGCCGAAAGAGAUCAGUUCUAACCUGCUCUGCAGGAAUAACGGUCCUGCCUCCCGACACUCUUGGCGAGGUUUUUGUACAGUUUGCUCCGGGAGCUGUUUCUUCGCUUCCACCUUUUUCUCCCCCACACUUCGCGGCUUCUUCAUGCUUUUUCUUCUCACCAUUUCUGGCCAAAACUACAAACAAGACUUCGCAGAUCGAGCCUGCGUGCUGCCGAAGCAGGGCGCCGAGUCCAUGCGAACUGCCAUCUGAUCCGCUCUUAUCA
Molecule: long non-coding RNA, 533 nt
Filed under: Homo sapiens (human)
Lineage: Eukaryota; Metazoa; Chordata; Mammalia; Primates; Hominidae
Description: non-protein coding lnc-ZEB2-1:4
Source: RNAcentral